Molecule: ribosomal RNA, 473 nt
Filed under: uncultured bacterium
Lineage: Bacteria
Description: bacterial SSU rRNA
Rfam family: Bacterial small subunit ribosomal RNA
Source: RNAcentral
GCAGAGCAUCCUACGGGAGGCAGCAGUGGGGAAUAUUGCACAAUGGGCGCAAGCCUGAUGCAGCCAUGCCGCGUGUAUGAAGAAGGCCUUCGGGUUGUAAAGUACUUUCAGCAGUGAGGAAGGUGGGGUAUGUUAAUAGCAUACUCAUUUGACGUUAGCUGCAGAAGAAGCACCGGCUAACUCCGUGCCAGCAGCCGCGGUAAUACGGGAGGGUGCGAGCGUUAAUCGGAAUUACUGGGCGUAAAGCGCAUGCAGGUGGUUUGUUAAGUCAGAUGUGAAAGCCCGGGGCUCAACCUCGGAAUUGCAUUUGAAACUGGCAAACUAGAGUACUGUAGAGGGGGUAGAAUUUCAGGUGUAGCGGUGAAAUGCGUAGAGAUCUGAAGGAAUACCGGUGGCGAAGGCGGCCCCCUGGACAGAUACUGACACUCAGAUGCGAAAGCGUGGGGAGCAAACAGGAUUAGAUACCCUGGUAG